GAUUCCCCUAGUAACGGCGAGUGAAGCGGGAAGAGCUCAAAUUUGUAAUCUGGCGGUCUCGGGCCGUCCGAGUUGUAGUCUGGAGAAGCGUCUUCCGUGCCGGACCGUGUACAAGUCCCUUGGAACGGGGCGUCGUAGAGGGUGAGAAUCCCGUCUCUGACACGGACCACCGGUGCUCUGUGAUGCGCUCUCGAAGAGUCGAGUUGUUUGGGAAUGCAGCUCAAAACGGGUGGUAAAUUCCAUCUAAAGCUAAAUACGGGCGAAAGACCGAUAGCGAACAAGUACCGUGAGGGAAAGAUGAAAAGCACUUUGGAAAGAGAGUUAAACAGUACGUGAAAUUGUUGAAAGGGAAACGCUUCAAGUCAGUCGCGUCUCGCGAGACUCAGCCGGGUCGGUUUACGGCCCGGUGCACUUCUCGACUUGACGGGCCAGCGUGGAUUUCGACCGUCGGAGAAAGGCUUGCGGGAAGGUGGCACCUCCGGGUGUGUUAUAGCCCCCUGCCGUAUGCGACGGUCGGGAUCGAGGACCGCAGCGUGCCCCCCUUCAACUUGGGGGGGUCGGGGUUCGCCCACGUGACGCGCUUAGGACGCUGGCGUAAUGGCUUGAAGCGACCCGUCUUGAAC
This 623-nucleotide ribosomal RNA is filed under the name Hysterangium sp. SM10166. Its description in RNAcentral is "eukaryotic LSU rRNA". It matches the Rfam family "Eukaryotic large subunit ribosomal RNA", at positions 73 to 659 of the family's 3401-position model. Lineage: Eukaryota; Fungi; Basidiomycota; Agaricomycetes; Hysterangiales; Hysterangiaceae. The record is from RNAcentral.